AUUGAACGCUGGCGGCAGGCCUAACACAUGCAAGUCGAGCGGAUGAAGGGAGCUUGCUCCUGGAUUCAGCGGCGGACGGGUGAGUAAUGCCUAGGAAUCUGCCUGGUAGUGGGGGAUAACGUCCGGAAACGGGCGCUAAUAACGCAUACGUCCUGAGGGAGAAAGUGGGGGAUCUUCGGACCUCACGCUAUCAGAUGAGCCUAGGUCGGAUUAGCUAGUUGGUGGGGUAAAGGCCUACCAAGGCGACGAUGCGUAACUGGUCUGAGAGGAUGAUCAGUCACACUGGAACUGAGACACGGUCCAGACUCCUACGGGAGGCAGCAGUGGGGAAUAUUGGACAAUGGGCGAAAGCCUGAUCCAGCCAUGCCGCGUGUGUGAAGAAGGUCUUCGGAUUGUAAAGCACUUUAAGUUGGGAGGAAGGGCAGUAAGUUAAUACCUUGCUGUUUUGACGUUACCAACAGAAUAAGCACCGGCUAACUUCGUG
Molecule: ribosomal RNA, 484 nt
Filed under: uncultured bacterium
Lineage: Bacteria
Description: partial 16S ribosomal RNA
Rfam family: Bacterial small subunit ribosomal RNA
Source: RNAcentral